This 2619-nucleotide ribosomal RNA is filed under the name Bacillaceae bacterium. Its description in RNAcentral is "partial 23S ribosomal RNA". It matches the Rfam family "Bacterial large subunit ribosomal RNA". Lineage: Bacteria; Bacillati; Bacillota; Bacilli; Caryophanales; Bacillaceae. The record is from RNAcentral.
AGGUUAAGCGGAAAAGGGCGCACGGCGGAUGCCUAGGCACUAGGAGGCGAGGAAGGACGCGGCAAACGGCGAAACGCCUCGGGGAGCUGUAAGCAAGCGAUGAUCCGGGGAUAUCCGAAUGGGGAAACCCGUUAGGGCGGAGCCCUAACACGUAUAGCUGAAUCCAUAGGCUAUACGGGGGAAACGCAGGGAACUGAAACAUCUAAGUACCUGCAGGAAAAGAAAGAAAGAUCGAUUCCCUGAGUAGCGGCGAGCGAAAGGGGAGGAGCCCAAACCACCGGAAGGUGGGGUAGUAGGACCACCGGGAGGCGCGAUUGGGCAUAGACGAACUACACUGGGAAGGUAGACCGAAGAGGGUGAAAGUCCCGUAGUCGAAAUGCCGGAUCGAGCUGGGUGGGAUCCUGAGUACGGCGGGACACGAGGAAUCCCGUCGGAAGCAGGGAGGACCAUCUCCCAAGGCUAAAUACUCCCUAGUGACCGAUAGUGGACGAGUACCGUGAGGGAAAGGUGAAAAGAACCCCGGGAGGGGAGUGAAAGAGAACCUGAAACCGUGUGCCUACAAGUAGUCAGAGCCCGUUAAGGGGUGAUGGCGUACUUUUUGUAGAACGGACCGGCGAGUUACGAUACCGUGCGAGGUUAAGGGCAUUAGGCCUGGAGCCGGAGCGAAAGCGAGUCUGAAGGGGGCGAUGAGUACGGUGUCGUAGACCCGAAACCGAGUGAUCUAGCCAUGCGCAGGGUGAAGGUUGGGUAAAGCCAACUGGAGGCCCGAACCGGGGUCUGUUGAAAAAGACUCGGAUGACGUGUGGCUAGGGGUGAAAUGCCAAACGAACUCGGAGAUAGCUGGUUCUCCCCGAAAUAGCUUUAGGGCUAGCCUCAUGGAUUUCCUAUUGGAGGUAGAGCACUGAUUAUACAAUGGCCCCACCUCGGGGUACUGCGUGUAAUCAAACUCCGAAUGCCAAUAGGGAGAAGUGGGAGUCAGACGGUGGGUGAUAAGAUCCAUCGUCGAGAGGGAAACAGCCCAGACCGUCAGCUAAGGUCCCGAAAUGGGCGUUAAGUGGGAAAGGAUGUGGAGGCACGAAGACAACUAGGAUGUUGGCUUAGAAGCAGCCAUCAUUUAAAGAGUGCGUAAUAGCUCACUAGUCGAGUGACUCUGCGCCGAAAAUGUAACGGGGCUAAACGCCCUACCGAAGCUACGGAACGGAGACGUUGGUAGGGGAGCGUUCUAAGGGCGAAGAAGCCAGACCGGAAGGACUGGUGGAGCGCUUAGAAGUGAGAAUGCCGGUGUGAGUAGCGAGAAGGCCGGUGGGAAUCCGGCCCGUCGAAAGUCUAAGGAUUCCAGAGGCAGGUUCGUCCGCUCUGGGUAAGUCGGGGCCUAAGGCGAGGCCGAAAGGCGUAGCCGAUGGGAAACUGGUGGAUAAUCCAGUACCUCUAUUACCACUGAAGGAGUGACGAAGAAGGCUAGGGUGAGCGAACGGAUGGAAGGGUUCGUCCAAGCGUUCGAGGCUAAAGGGCAGGCAAAUCCGCCCUUUGGGAAGGCUGAGGCGUGAAGGGGAGCCGGAAGGCGAAGCACCCGAGGCCAGGCUUCCGAGAAAAGCUUCUAGGGAAAAUGGUAAUAGAGCCCGUACCGGAAACCGACACAGGUAGACGAGGAGAGGAUCCUAAGACGCGCGAGCGAACUAUCGUUAAGGAACUCGGCAAAAUGGCCCCGUAACUUCGGGAGAAGGGGUGCUUGCGCGAGCAAGCCGCAGUGAACAGGCCCAAGCGACUGUUUAACAAAAACACAGGUCUCUGCGAAACCGAAAGGUGAGGUAUAGGGGCUGACGCCUGCCCGGUGCUGGAAGGUUAAGGGGAGGGGUUAGCGGAAGCGAAGCUCCGAACCGAAGCCCCAGUAAACGGCGGCCGUAACUAUAACGGUCCUAAGGUAGCGAAAUUCCUUGUCGGGUAAGUUCCGACCCGCACGAAAGGCGUAACGACUUGGGCGCUGUCUCGACGAUAGGCUCGGUGAAAUCAUAGUACCCGUGAAGAUGCGGGUUACCCGCGACAGGACGGAAAGACCCCGUGGAGCUUUACUGCAGCUUGAUAUUGGGCCUUGUUGCGCCAUGUACAGGAUAGGUAGGAGACGGAGAAUCAGGUACGCCAGUAUCUGAGGAGUCGGCGUUGGGAUACUACCCUUGGCGCAGCGAGGUUCUAACCAACGGCCGUGAUCCGGCCGGGGGACAGUGUCAGGCGGGCAGUUUGACUGGGGCGGUCGCCUCCCAAAGGGUAACGGAGGCGCCCAAAGGUUCCCUCAGAAUGGUUGGAAAUCAUUCGGAGAGCGCAAAGGCAGAAGGGAGCUUGACUGCGAGACUGACAAGUCGAGCAGGGACGAAAGUCGGGCUUAGUGAUCCGGCGGUACCGGAUGGAAGGGCCGUCGCUCAACGGAUAAAAGCUACCCCGGGGAUAACAGGCUGAUCACAUCCAAGAGUUCACAUCGACGAUGUGGUUUGGCACCUCGAUGUCGGCUCAUCGCAUCCUGGGGCUGAAGUCGGUCCCAAGGGUUGGGCUGUUCGCCCAUUAAAGCGGUACGCGAGCUGGGUUCAGAACGUCGUGAGACAGUUCGGUCCCUAUCCGUCGCGGGCG